GUUCAAAUACGGACAAAGGAGAUGCAUUUGCAAGCUGAAUUUGGGUUUGCAGCUCACUGGAGAUACAAGGAAGGUGACUGCAAACACUCAUCG
This 93-nucleotide small RNA is filed under the name Arabidopsis thaliana (thale cress). Its description in RNAcentral is "ATSL054720". Lineage: Eukaryota; Viridiplantae; Streptophyta; Magnoliopsida; Brassicales; Brassicaceae. The record is from RNAcentral.